This 482-nucleotide ribosomal RNA is filed under the name uncultured bacterium. RNAcentral describes it as "partial 16S ribosomal RNA". It matches the Rfam family "Bacterial small subunit ribosomal RNA", at positions 28 to 507 of the family's 1533-position model. The record is from RNAcentral.
GACGAACGCUGGCGGCGUGCUUAACACAUGCAAGUCGAACGAUGAAGAAGAGAAACUCGAACGUCGGUUCAAGUUUCACUUCGGAGUAGUGGCAGACUGGUGAGUAACGCGUUAUCAACCUACCUCUUACAAAGGGAUAUCCUCGGGAAACCGUGAUUAAUACCAUAUGACACAUUCAUAAGGCAUCUUAAGAUUGUUAAAGCUACGGCGGUAAGAGAUGGGCUCGCGUCACAUUAGCUAGUUGGUGAGGUAACGGCCCACCAAGGCGACGAUGGGUAACUGGCAUGGGAGCGUGACAGAUUAGAUUGGAACUGCGGCACAGACCACAACGCGACGGGAGGGAGCAGUGGGGAGUAUUACACACUGAAGGGUAAUCUGGUGACGCGGCGCGGCGUGAGAGAUGAAGGAAUUCGUAUCGUAAAGCUCUGUUCUAUGGGAAGAAAAGGACUGUAACAUAGGAGAAAGCCCCGGCUAAAUACGUG